RNAcentral lists this ribosomal RNA (252 nucleotides) under uncultured bacterium. RNAcentral's name for it is "partial 16S ribosomal RNA". It matches the Rfam family "Bacterial small subunit ribosomal RNA", at positions 524 to 776 of the family's 1533-position model. The record is from RNAcentral.
UACGUAGGUCCCGAGCGUUGUCCGGAUUUAUUGGGCGUAAAGCGAGCGCAGGUGGUUUAUUAAGUCUGGUGUAAAAGGCAGUGGCUCAACCAUUGUAUGCAUUGGAAACUGGUAGACUUGAGUGCAGGAGAGGAGAGUGGAAUUCCAUGUGUAGCGGUGAAAUGCAUAGAUAUCACGCAGAACUCCGAUUGCGAAGGCAGCAUACCGGCGCCCAACUGACGCUGAAGCACGAAAGCGUGGGUAUCGAACAGG